This 345-nucleotide unclassified non-coding RNA is filed under the name soil metagenome. RNAcentral's name for it is "partial contains 5.8S ribosomal RNA, internal transcribed spacer 2, and large subunit ribosomal RNA". The stretch from base 1 to 120 matches the Rfam family "5.8S ribosomal RNA", at positions 35 to 154 of the family's 154-position model. The record is from RNAcentral.
GAUGAAGAACGUAGUGAAAUGCGAUAAGUAAUGUGAAUUGCAGAAUUCAGUGAAUCAUCGAAUCUUUGAACGCACAUUGCGCCCGCCAGUAUUCUGGCGGGCAUGCCUGUCCGAGCGUCAUUUCAACCCUCGAGCCCCCGGGCUUGGUGUUGGAGAUCGGCGAGCCCCCCGGGGCGCGCCGUCUCCCAAAUAUAGUGGCGGUCCCGCUGUAGCUUCCUCUGCGUAGUAGCACACCUCGCACUGGGAAACAGCGUGGCCACGCCGUAAAACCCCCCACUUCUGAAAGGUUGACCUCGGAUCAGGUAGGAAUACCCGCUGAACUUAAGCAUAUCAAUAAGCGGAGGA